AAUUCUGCAGCGGUCCAAGUAACGGAUUUCUACUCCGUGGGUUGCAGGUUCGAAUCCUGCUGGGAUCA
Bradyrhizobium erythrophlei is the source of this 68-nucleotide non-coding RNA. The record is from Rfam. Lineage: Bacteria; Pseudomonadati; Pseudomonadota; Alphaproteobacteria; Hyphomicrobiales; Nitrobacteraceae.